AAAGUUUUGAUCCUAAACUUACCAUUGUUUGAAACCAAAAUUAUACAUGCAAGUAUCUACACACCCGUGAGAAACGCCCUAAUCAUCUUUAACAGAACUCCGGAGCAAGUAUCAGGCUCAACAAAUUAGCCCAUAACACUUUGCAUCGCCACCUCCCCACGGAUAUCAGCAGUAAUUAAUAUUAGGCAAUUAGUGAAAACUUGACCUAGCUAUGGUUAACUGGGCCGGCAAAUUUCGUGCCAGCAGCCGCGGUUAUACGAAAGGCCCAAAACAAGAAGCAUACGGCGUAAAGCGUGACUAGAAUUUUAUCUUUGCAGCUAUAAGGAGAAAUCAAAGUUAAGUAGUAAAAUACACUAACUAAAAGAAUCUUAACCCCUUAUGCAAAUAGAUAUUUCACUCACGAAAACUAAGAAACAAACUAGGAUUAGAUACCCUACUAUGCUUAGUCUUAACCUAAGAUAUAUUAAAACAAAACUAUCCGCCAGAGAACUACGAGUGAAAAACUUAAAACUCAAAGGACUUGGCGGUGCCCCAUACUCAGCCUAGAGGAGCCUGUCCUAUAAUCGAUAAUCCACGAUAAACCUAACCGCUUUUAGCAAAAUCAGCCUAUAUACCGCCAUCGCCAGUUUAUCUUCUAAAAGAUUAAAAAUAAACACAAAAGUUUUAUCACUAGUACGUUAGGUCAAGGUGUAGCACAUAAAACGGUAAGAGAUGGGCUACAUUUUUUAUUCAAGAAAAUACGGAAAACACAAUGAAACUAGUGUUUGAAGGCGGAUUUAGUAGUAAAAUUUAUAAGAAUAUUUAUUUUAAAUAAGCCCUGGGGCGCGCACAUACCGCCCGUCACCCUCCUCAAUUAUAUUUUUAACAAACAUAUUCAACCAAAAUUCCAUAGAUGAGGCAAGUCGUAACAUGGUAAGCGCACUGGAAAGUGUGCUUGGACUA
RNAcentral lists this non-coding RNA (942 nucleotides) under Heloderma suspectum (Gila monster). RNAcentral's name for it is "12S ribosomal RNA". It matches the Rfam family "Bacterial small subunit ribosomal RNA". The record is from RNAcentral. Lineage: Eukaryota; Metazoa; Chordata; Lepidosauria; Squamata; Helodermatidae.